Molecule: ribosomal RNA, 468 nt
Filed under: uncultured bacterium
Lineage: Bacteria
Description: partial 16S ribosomal RNA
Rfam family: Bacterial small subunit ribosomal RNA
Source: RNAcentral
GACGAACGCUGGCGGCGUGCUUAACACAUGCAAGUCGAACGGAAAGGCCCUGCUUUUGUGGGGUGCUCGAGUGGCGAACGGGUGAGUAACACGUGAGUAACCUGCCCUUGACUUUGGGAUAACUUCAGGAAACUGGGGCUCAUACCGGAUAGGAGCUCCUGCUGCAUGGUGGGGGUUGGAAAGUUUCGGCGGUUGUGGAUGGACUCGCGGCUUAUCAGCUUGUUGGUGGGGUAGUGGCUUACCAAGGCUUUGACGGGUAGCCGGCCUGAGAGGGUGACCGGCGACAUUGGGACUGAGGUACGGCCGAGACAGCGACGGGAGGCAGCAGUGGGGAAUAUUGCACAAUGGGCGGAAGCCUGAUGCAGCAACGCCGCGUGCGGGAUGACGGCCUUCGGGUUGUAAACCGCUUGCGCCUGUGACGAAGCGUGAGUGACGGUAAUGGGUAAAGAAGCACCGGCUAACUACGUG